RNAcentral lists this ribosomal RNA (305 nucleotides) under uncultured bacterium. Its description in RNAcentral is "bacterial SSU rRNA". It matches the Rfam family "Bacterial small subunit ribosomal RNA", at positions 337 to 639 of the family's 1533-position model. The record is from RNAcentral.
ACCUACGGGGGGCAGCAGUGAGGAAUAUUGGUCAAUGGGCGGGAGACCGAACCAGCCAAGCCGCGUGAGGGAGGAAGGUACAGAGUAUCGUAAACCUCUUUUGUCAGGGAACAAAGGCGGGGACGUGUCCCCGGAUGAGUGUACCUGAAGAAAAAGCAUCGGCUAACUCCGUGCCAGCAGCCGCGGUAAUACGGAGGAUGCGAGCGUUAUCCGGAUUUAUUGGGUUUAAAGGGUGCGUAGGUGGUUAAUUAAGUCAGCGGUGAAAGUUUGUGGCUCAACCAUAAAAUUGCCGUUGAAACUGGUUG